AGAUUUCUGUCUGCCUCUCAUUGGCAAACAUGACAUUUCAGCAAUUUCUCUAAAGAGGAAUGACUGGGGGAUUUUUUGUUCAUUCUGAAAAUCACAUCGCCAGAUCCAACACCUUUUUAUCCCAAUCACCAGUACAAGCCACCCGUAUCAGUGUACACUGUGGCUGACCGAUCCAUAGUGAUGCUUUGAGCACAAGGAAGGACUUUCUGGAAUCUACUUAUCUGACCAAGAAAGCUUCUUUCCAAAAGAAAUGCAAUUGUCUUGAGACUUCUUCCCUAGGGAUCUGAUCAACUAACCAGAAAAGAGCAACCACCAGAGAAGAGACUGUGGGUGUCAUUGUGACUGGCUGCUACCUCCCCAUGAGUCUUCUAAAAUAAAACCUGCAAAUUCACAUCUUCCCCAUGCUUCCAGAGAAUGCAUAUUCUUCCUUUGAAAAAAGAAAACCAGAUUGAAGCCACAAAAUCCACAGCACACAAAGACCCUGCUACCAUGUAUUCACUUCAGUGAAAGGGAAGCACCGAAAUGCUGAGUGGGGGCAGGUACAGAUACUUCAAUCACUGCUGAUGG
This 567-nucleotide long non-coding RNA is filed under the name Homo sapiens (human). RNAcentral describes it as "novel transcript". Lineage: Eukaryota; Metazoa; Chordata; Mammalia; Primates; Hominidae. The record is from RNAcentral.